Long non-coding RNA from Drosophila ficusphila, 1434 nucleotides. RefSeq lists it as uncharacterized. The record is from RefSeq and is a predicted model, not a curated record. The transcript is spliced from 3 exons. NCBI's taxonomy places the organism in Eukaryota, Metazoa, Arthropoda, Insecta, Diptera, Drosophilidae.
CUAACAUUGAGAUAUAUAGUGGGUUUUUUUUGUACCCCAUAACAGAUCCCAGGAAAACUCUCUUAUUAGUGAAAACUCACUGUUAGUUUCUUACUCAUCGUUUUAACUCUACUCAAAAUCAUUUUUAAGCCAAGGCAGCUACACUAAGAGAACUUUAUAAAUGGAGUCCUGUAAGAGGUUUUAACAGAACCUUUUGACUCGUUCCUUCUCUUUUAAACUCAACUCAAAUCCUAAUUUCGAGUCAUCCCAGCAGUUAUAUGAAACCCAAGAGAACUGACCAGGAUGCGACUUAACCAGCUCAGUCCCUUUCAGCAAGGACUCACUCACAGAGAACAGGAUGAGUUUGAGAAUGAGCUUUCAACUCUGGGUAAUCGGACAGGUUCGUUUUUUGGAGAUCCGAGCACACCGACGAAGGUGAAAAACGAAUCGCAGCCACGAAAAACCCGCCAUUGACUUUGACCGUCGUUCGCCAGUCGUCAGUUUCAACUGGAGCGGCGGGCAGUGAGCUGAAUUCGGCUAAAACGACGCAUCGGCAGAACAUUUCGCAGGAAACCGAACCAGAGCAGCCAGCAAAAGCAAAAAAAGCGAAAGCCAAGAACCAAGUACGAAUUGGCCAAAUAGCCUGUGCUAAUUUUUGUGCGAUAGCAUACUUUUUGGCGCGCUCCUCCUUUAAUCCUGCCGUCUAAGUGAAUGUGAAAUGUGACAAGCCAAGUGACAGUUAGCAAAAGGCAAACACAACGACAACACAACAAAAAAGGAGAAAUGAGAAAGAAGAAAGUGGAAAGCGGCCAAACAGAUGGAAACAACUUGCAGAUGCUGUGAUGUUCGAGGCCCCAGGAGACAUUUAACAUAAUAAAAACGAACGUGUGCGGCAUUUUUGUGUCUUGCCUCUUGGCCAAGUUAACUCCUAACAGUGUGUCAUGUGUGUGUGUGGGUUUAUUUAAUGCUAAUAUCACAAACACUCGCCCCCGCACACUCACACUCGCACACAGCGCAACGUACAAACAAACAAUAUUGCAAAUGUGGGCGCCAGGCAGUUGGCAAAAGUGUCGUAAAUCGUUUAGACAGCGCAACGUGGCCCAGAAAAAGGAGAUGAGGGCCAAAAGCGAUAUGUAAACGACACAGUCGCCGUGGGAAAAACUCCGAAAAUACGCAAAAAAAAAAGGGGCCAAGGAAAUGGAGGAUCUGCCGAUGAACUGCAUUUGUUGCUCCUAUGUGAUUAGGCUAAAAACUCGUGAUGAAGUUGACUUGAAUAAUGGUGACUGAACUGGACUGAUAAUUCUUAUUAAUGAAUACAUAAGCUUUUACAAAGAACUUUCCCCAAAACGACGAUGACAUGUGGCCAUCAAUACUGUGAUAAAUAUAAAUAUUGUCGUAAAUAAAGCAAUUUUGUAGAAGAAAGAAAAUAAAAAAUAUGCAGUCUAUAAAAAGUAA